GGCGGGUAGAAUCCUUUGCAGA
RNAcentral lists this small nuclear RNA (22 nucleotides) under Arabidopsis thaliana (thale cress). Its description in RNAcentral is "snRNA_14853". The record is from RNAcentral. Lineage: Eukaryota; Viridiplantae; Streptophyta; Magnoliopsida; Brassicales; Brassicaceae.